UGAACUAGUACUGAGAAGGAAAGGCGAAAAGAAGGGCGGGACGCCCAGUGAAAUAGAACCUGAAACUGUUUGCGGACAAACCGAUAGAGCCUCGUAAGGGGUGAUAUCGUGCCUAUUGAAGAAUGAUCCGGCGAGUUUGUAUUACAUUCUAGCUUAAUCAAGUCUAACUUGAGGAGGCGCAGGGAAACCGAGUUUGAAUAGAGCGAAAAUAAGGAUGUGGUACAAGACCCGAAACCAGGCGAUCUAUCCAUGAGCAGGGUGAACUCUGAUGAAGAUCAGAGGGAGGCCCGAACCGGUCUGAGUUGCAAUUCGGUCGGAUGACUUGUGGUUAGUGGUUAUAUGCCAAACGAGCCUGGAGAUAGCUGGCUCUCCCCGAAAGGUCUAUGGGGACCGUGGCUGUGAAUAAAUAUGGGGGUGGUAGAGAUACUGGAUGGGUUAUCAAGGGUAACCGAGAUAACUUAACCAAACUCCGAAUAACUCCAUAUCGUCGCAGCUAGACAAUCUUAUCGGGCUAAGCUGAUAAGUUGAGAGGGAAACAACCCAGACUCCCGGCUAAGGUCUCAAAAUCAUAACUAAGUUUCAAAGGAAGUCUACGUCCAUAGACAGCUAGGAGGUUGGCUUAGAAGCAGCCAUCCUUUAAAGAUAGCGUAACAGCUCACUAGUCGAUUGGAAGUAGGCGCCGAAAAUUUAUCGAGGAUAAGUUAUGUACCGAAGCCAGAGAUUUUACCGUAAGGUAAUGUGGUAGGGGAGCGUUCGUACAGCAGUGAAGCUGUUUUGUAAGAAAUGGUGGAGCGGUACGAAGUGAGAAUGCCGGAAUGAGUAGCGUACAAUUACCGUGAGAAUCGGUAACGCCGAAUACCCAAGGUUUCCGUCGCGAGGUUCGUCCUCGACGGGUUAGUCGGUACCUAAGGCGAGGCCAAAUGGCGUAGUCGAUGGAAGAGCAGUUAAAAUUCUGCUAUUUGUUUUGAAUCGCUUGCCUGCGCAAGCAGGUUACAGCUGGGGACUGACCGGGUUGGAGAAUUGAAGCCCCUUUGUGAAUUGGGGUGUAAGCUUUAAAAUAGGAUGUGCUGGAAAAUCCGCACAACUGAUUAAUUGAAAAGUGAUACAGAGUCUUAAGAAAUUAGGAUGAUUUCAGCUUCUUCAGCCUGCGAGAAAAGGUUCGCAGUGAGAUUCAGAUUAAGCCGUACCGUAAUCCGACACAGGUGGGUUGGUGUCAGUGCACUAAGGCGAGCGAGAGAAAGAGGCUUAAGGAACUCGGCAAUAAAACUGGACGUAAGUUCGCAAGAUGUCCUGGCCAGCUUAAUGCUGGCUUGCAACAAAAGAUUGCUAACCGACUGUUUAUCAAAAACACAGGUCCGUGCAAAAGAGAAAUCUGCGGUAUACGGGCUGACGCUUGCCCAGUGCCGGUAAGUGAAGAGGAGGGGUUUCCCGAUUUAUCGGGACAGCUUCGAAUCCAAGCUCCGGUAAACGGCAGCAGUAACUAUAACUGUUCUACGGUAGCGAAGUUCCUUGUCGGGUAAGUUCCGACCCGCAUGAAUAGCGUAACGAGUUAGCAACUGUCUCAAGCCUUUACUCGGCGAAAUUGCGUUGGCUGUGAAGACGCGGCCUACUUCCACCUGGACAAAAAGACCCCGUGGAGCUUUACUACAGCUUGACAUUGAUUUGUGCGAGCUAAUUGUUUAGUGUAAGAGGGAGCCUUCGGGCGAAAGUGAAACACCUCUCUUUGGAUCGUGGCAAAUCUCACUCAUAAACUUUGCAUACAAGUUUGGGGAAAGUGUUAGGUAGGUAGUUUUACUGGGGCGGUACCUUGCCAAAGGGUAACGCAAGGACACAAAGGUUGGCUUAGCACGGAUGGACAUCGUGCGGAAUGUGUAAAGGCAUAAGCCAGCUUGACUGCGAGUGCGACGGCACAAGCAGGGACGAAAGUCGGUCUUAGUGAUCCUCCGACGCCAUAUGGGUGGCGCGGAGCUUAAUGGAUAAAAGCUACCCCGGGGAUAACAGAGUAGUCGCGCCCGAGCGUCCAUAGCGACGGCGCGGAUCGCUACCUCGAUGUCGGCUCAUCGCAUCCUGGGGCUGC
Molecule: ribosomal RNA, 2077 nt
Filed under: Candidatus Woesebacteria bacterium GW2011_GWA1_37_8
Lineage: Bacteria; Candidatus Woeseibacteriota
Description: partial 23S ribosomal RNA
Rfam family: Bacterial large subunit ribosomal RNA
Source: RNAcentral